CAGUGGGGAAUUUUCCGCAAUGGGCGAAAGCCUGACGGAGCAAUGCCGCGUGGAGGUGGAAGGCCUACGGGUCGUCAACUUCUUUUCUCGGAGAAGAAACAAUGACGGUAUCUGAGGAAUAAGCAUCGGCUAACUCUGNGCCAG
RNAcentral lists this ribosomal RNA (144 nucleotides) under uncultured bacterium. Its description in RNAcentral is "partial 16S rRNA". It matches the Rfam family "Bacterial small subunit ribosomal RNA", at positions 352 to 511 of the family's 1533-position model. The record is from RNAcentral.